Molecule: long non-coding RNA, 828 nt
Organism: Dendroctonus ponderosae (mountain pine beetle)
Lineage: Eukaryota; Metazoa; Arthropoda; Insecta; Coleoptera; Curculionidae
Exons: 2
Source: RefSeq, a predicted model, not a curated record
GCUCUCUAGUUUUGUGCUUACCAAAUUUAUCCGGUUUAUCAUCGAAGUUUUAAAUAAACCAUCAGAGACAAGUAGAGACUAGAAAGUAGGCGUGAAAAAAUGUCCCAAAAAUCGCUGUAUUUCGGUCUCUUUGCUAUGUUUGUUGAAUUAUCCCAAAGCUUAUGUUGCCAUGUCGUUUUAUUUAUAGCAUGUAAUGCAAAAAUAAUGGUUUUGUUUCCUUAUCUAAUCCAUUGACGAAAAACCGCACAUGGUGUUGCCAUUUGGGAGUUGAUAAUUAACGGCACCGCUGCUUGCUGCAAUCGCUAACCCUACUUAUGCCUUAUUUUGACGGCUACCCAUAUAAACAUUAAUAUAUAUGUUUUUUGUUUGAGAUUAUUGAGUUUUGUGAUUUGUGGUUUGAUAUCGAAUGCGUGAUUGUGGUCAGUUCUUAGUUUGUGGCGUGUUUUUAGUUGUUGGUGGGUUCUGUUCGGCACGCUUUGUUUAUGUUGCAUGGCUUUUGUUACUGGGGUUUUCGGUAUAUCGGGUUUUCGUCUGUAUAAUGCUAGGAAAUUUGUACAGUAUAUUAAUUUAGUAAGAUGCCCAUGCCAGCAAGCAGCUAAUAUGGAGAGAAUUUGUCGCAAAGUUUCGUUGGUAAGAAUCCAACACUAUCCAGGGUAUCGGACUACUGGGUGUCUUCGCGAAGAUGUUGAUCCUCCAGCAGCCGGGCAAAAAAAUAAACAGAAAGUUGUAGAUUUUUUUAGUUGACAGGUAAAAGUUUUUUUUAUGUGCAUUGAUUGAUUGUCUUAGUAUUAGGAUUAUUCCUGUUAAACAAUAAACAAUUGAAUUGAA